AUUUUUACCCUUGCCUUAGAAAGUUUGGGAGAAUUCAGAUUACAAUGAUUGGUUGCAUUCAAGUUGGGGAGAAAAGGUUGGUUGCAUUAGAGGUCGAGAAAGAAAAAUAAAAAUUUGGAAAAAGAAAGAGAAAAGUGAAAAAUAAAAUAAAAUAAAAAUUAAAAGAAAAGGCAUUGAAAAAGAAAAAAAAAUAGCACAUAAAU
This 203-nucleotide long non-coding RNA is filed under the name Lathyrus oleraceus (garden pea). RNAcentral's name for it is "Pisum sativum (pea) long non-coding RNA (PSAT_LNC042050)". Lineage: Eukaryota; Viridiplantae; Streptophyta; Magnoliopsida; Fabales; Fabaceae. The record is from RNAcentral.